Molecule: ribosomal RNA, 497 nt
Filed under: uncultured bacterium
Lineage: Bacteria
Description: partial 16S ribosomal RNA
Rfam family: Bacterial small subunit ribosomal RNA
Source: RNAcentral
GAUGAACGCUGGCGGCGUGCCUAAUACAUGCAAGUCGAGCGAACAGAUAAGGAUCUUGCUCCUUUGACGUUAGCGGCGGACGGGUGAGUAACACGUGGGUAACCUACCUAUAAGACUGGAAUAACUCCGGGAAACCGGGGCUAAUGCCGGAUAACCUUUAGAACCGCAUGGUUCUAAAGUGAAAGAUGGUUUUGCUAUCACUUAUAGAUGGACCCGCGCCGUAUUAGCUAGUUGGUAAGGUAACGGCUUACCAAGGCAACGAUACGUAGCCGAACUGAGAGGGUGAUCGGCCACACUGGAACGGGGACACGGUCCAGACGCCUACGGGAGGGAGCAGUAGGGAAUCGUCCGCAAGGGGCGAAAGCCUGACGGAACAACGCCGCGUGAGGAAUGAAGGUCGUCGGAUCGUAGAACUCUGUUAUUAGGGAAGAACAAAUGUGUAAGUAUCUGGACACGUCUUGACGGUACCUAAUCAGAAAGCCACGGCUAACUACGUG